ACUACGGGUGGCAGCAGUGGGGAAUAUUGGGCAAUGGGCGCAAGCCUGACCCAGCAACGCCGCGUGAAGGAAGAAGGCUUUCGGGUUGUAAACUUCUUUUAAGAGGGAAGAGCAGAAGACGGUACCUCUUGAAUAAGCCACGGCUAACUACGUGCCAGCAGCCGCGGUAAUACGUAGGUGGCAAGCGAUGUCCGGAUUUACUGGGUGUAAAGGGCGUGCAGCCGGGAAGACAAGUCAGAUGUGAAAUCCCGCGGCUCAACCGAGGAACUGCAUUUGAAACUGUUUUUCUUGAUUACCGGAGAGGUCAUCGGAAUUCCUUGUGUAGCGGUGAAAGGCGUAGAUAUAAGGAAGAACACCAGUGGCGAAGGCGGAUGACUGGACGGCAACUGACGGUGAGGCGCGAAAGCGUGGGGAGCAAACAGGAUUAGAUACCCGUGUAGUC
Molecule: ribosomal RNA, 442 nt
Filed under: uncultured bacterium
Lineage: Bacteria
Description: partial 16S ribosomal RNA
Rfam family: Bacterial small subunit ribosomal RNA
Source: RNAcentral